GUGCUCAAUUCAGCAGCACAUAUACUAAAAUUGGAACAAUAUAGAGAUUAGCAUGACCUCUAGGCAAGAAUGACACGCAAAUUUGUGAAGCAUUCUAUAUUUAA
Small nuclear RNA from Suncus etruscus (white-toothed pygmy shrew), 104 nucleotides. The record is from RefSeq and is a predicted model, not a curated record. NCBI's taxonomy places the organism in Eukaryota, Metazoa, Chordata, Mammalia, Eulipotyphla, Soricidae.